This 489-nucleotide long non-coding RNA is filed under the name Androctonus crassicauda. Lineage: Eukaryota; Metazoa; Arthropoda; Arachnida; Scorpiones; Buthidae. The record is from RNAcentral.
AGAAAAAUGUCUUUCUCUGGAAAGGGAAAGGUUUAUAGAAAUAGUGAAUGGUCCAAAAUCAGAGGAAUUGGUCAGUCGGUAUUAAUUUCUACAUUUGUUCGGUUGUCUCCGGUGGGGUCAUGCUCUGAGAUUAAAAAGAGAGAGCGGGAGAUCGAAAAUUUAGUAGGAAUUUUGAGAGUGAUUCACCAUUACCGACUCACUAAAAUUGCAGUCAACUUCGCCCGCUCAUUGACAACCAGUGAACAUCUUAUCGAUAAAAAAUUUCUUUUGUGACAACACUACGAUACGACUGACUUCGUGGCCACCUCUAUAUUGUGUUCCCCUUUCUCUUUGAAGUUUGAACUAAAGACUAUCUAUUUUGGACUAGACUGUGUGUAUUAUUUCCUGGACACGAAACAGAACAACUGAUAACUUCUUCUGUUCCUUACAGGUAUCUAUCCGUUCAGAAUGCUUCUGUACAUUUCUCUAUCUCUCAAUAAAAGAUCUAUG